AACGUAGGAGGCAAGCGUUAUCCGGAGUUACUGGGCGUAAAGCGCGUGUAGGCGGCUCGGUAAGUGGGUCGUGAAAGCGCCCGGCUAAACUGGGCGAGGACGAUCGAGACUGCCAGGCUAGAGGGUGGUAGAGGGACAGGGAAUUCCGGGUGUAGCGGUGAAAUGUGUAGAGAUCCGGAGGAACACCAGUGGCGAAGGCGCUGUCCUGGGCCUCCUCUGACGCUGAUACGCGAAGGCGUGGGGAGCGAACGGG
This 253-nucleotide ribosomal RNA is filed under the name uncultured bacterium. RNAcentral's name for it is "partial 16S ribosomal RNA". It matches the Rfam family "Bacterial small subunit ribosomal RNA", at positions 524 to 776 of the family's 1533-position model. The record is from RNAcentral.